Molecule: non-coding RNA, 217 nt
Organism: Sturnus vulgaris (Common starling)
Lineage: Eukaryota; Metazoa; Chordata; Aves; Passeriformes; Sturnidae
Source: RefSeq, a predicted model, not a curated record
CUCAAAUAGGGAAGUUUCAUCCUCCUUGCUUUCUUGUGUGUCCACCCUCCUCUUUUCAGGUUGUUUGUGCUUAGGGCUUGAAGUUUGAAGAUACUGUCCUCGAGUCCCUAGCUGGAAUUGGACUGUUUUGUCUUCAUCACCCAAGCACAAUGGAAAAGCACGUCCAAGCAGAACAGAACAGAAGACUUAAAACUUAAAGGCAUUAUACCAUACUGGA